This 232-nucleotide unclassified non-coding RNA is filed under the name Hevea brasiliensis (rubber tree). The record is from RNAcentral. Lineage: Eukaryota; Viridiplantae; Streptophyta; Magnoliopsida; Malpighiales; Euphorbiaceae.
GAAAUUAUAAUCAUUGUAAUUUUAGUUAUAUUCCUAUUUUGUGUUCUUUGAAGUGUGUAAAAGCAUACCAAGCUUGAUAGAAUUAAUCAAGCUUUUCCAUAAUAAAUGUUUUUCUUCUCUCUUUUUUACUAAUAGGAAUCACGUUGAAAUGCUCAUGGAUCACCCAUCGUUGAUCCAGUGAAAAACUCAACCAAAUCUGGUGAGGUUGGCAUUGUUUGGAAGCUUUAGGGAC